AAAGAAAGAUGAGCCCCCAGUGCCACUGGUUAAACUUCUAUAAACUGUGAUAUGGCCAGCAGAAUCAGCCGCCAUAUUAUGGAGAACACCAUGCACUAUUAAUGCAUUCACUCCCCCGCCCACAGAUGCAGUCCUUGGUUAUCAAAGAGAACAUUCAGAAAUGCUGCUGCUGGCACAAAAAAAAAAGGCAUUUGAAGCUCAAAUCAUGGUUGGAAUGUGGACUUAGUCUUGUUAUCUUACAUUGAGAGUCCAUGAGAGAGGCCUAUCAUAGGUUACAUGUACACUGAUAAGGGAACAACUGCAAAAAGUAAGAUCUCAACCAGACCCUUCUCACACCAGACCCAGCAGGCAACUGUACUGUUCCAUAAAGCCACAGAGUUGGUACCAAGAUUAACGUUGGUCAUCAUUCAAGCAAACAGAUUCCAACCUGGCCACCAGUGCAUAUUUCCAAACUAUGUUUGCAUAUAAUGACAAUAAAAUGUCAAAACAUUGCUGGUAUUAUUUGGUCCGUUAAUGUUUAUUAUAUUAUAUUCUUGGCUAAAAAAAUAUGACUAUUUAUUAGUAGUAGCCAUAAUUCAUAAAUGGCACCAUACAGGGUUCUAUAUGGAACCAAUUUUGGUUCAGUGAAGAAGAAGCCUUGGGAUUGUAAUCAUAGAACCCUAUAAAAGGGUUCUAUACAGAACUUUUACGGGUUCCAUAUAUGAAGCAAGUUUAUAUAAGGACAACAAUUUUUUCUAAGUGUAUAAUAUGCCAUUUGUUUCGGGUUUUUUUGUCAAGAUUCAACAGUUCAUCAACGUUGGUCAAAAUUACUAGAAUGUAACAUAAAAUAUCAAUAAUAGGAUUGACUUUCCCUCAAAAAGCAAUAUUACUACUUAGAGAAGCAGAGUUGAUCAACCCUUCAUGGCUGUUUCAAGCUCUCUGAGCAGAGAGCAACUUUUAAUCUGUACAAAGGCUUGUAAUUGAUCUGCGUAGGGCAGCAAUUAGGCUACUUGAAUUACGUUGUUUCAGGUGAUGGAAUCUUCAAGUGAGAAAGCCCCUUUGACCAAGAUUGGCCCAGCUUGCACACUGUAGUCUUUGUAAUCAUGGUUUCUUUGCUAAUUGAGUGCCCAACCUCAUGUCAUGUGCACUUGCACACUGGGAGCUACAGUUUAGUAUUCUGUCUUCUGAGUUAUUAGGCUAUCCAUGGUUAUUAUGAAUUCAAUCAAAAUUGGAAACCAGAAAGCAUUCUGGAUAAAACAAAUUAUAUAUCAGAUUUUCAUUGAUGAGACCUACUUAGUCAUAUGACAUCAGACAGACAUAAACUGACCAUGAGCAUAUCUCUCAAAAUGACAGAAGCAGUAUUUCCAUCUAUAGGACACACUCAGAACUGCAGUUAGGUAAUACUUUCUCUGCUAUUAGUCAUACAUAAAUGCUUUAAAAUUCACAAAAAAGUGACGUUCGCUGAUGAAGAUUAUCUCAUAGAACAAAACCUGUGUUUACCCCGUACGCAUCAUUGGGCCACACUUUGGUACGCUACGGUCCCAUAAUCAAACUACAAAUCCCACGAUGCUCUAGCUUAAUCUUCUAAACAGGAAAUUACGUCUCUGUGAGAAGGGUUCAGUUACUUUCAUUUUCACUUUUUGAGCUGACUAACGGGUGACUAUUUUCAGCGUUGUGCACUAUCAGACAUUUAGGGAAAUCCGUGCAUUCUGUGAACUACUUAGUUGCUUUCUAUUUUUGCAUUGCAAAAGGUCAUUUUUGCAUUGCAAAAGGUCAUUUUUGCAUAUCAAGU
Molecule: long non-coding RNA, 1771 nt
Organism: Salmo trutta (river trout)
Lineage: Eukaryota; Metazoa; Chordata; Actinopteri; Salmoniformes; Salmonidae
Source: Ensembl